RNAcentral lists this ribosomal RNA (449 nucleotides) under uncultured organism. RNAcentral describes it as "partial 16S ribosomal RNA". It matches the Rfam family "Bacterial small subunit ribosomal RNA", at positions 335 to 800 of the family's 1533-position model. The record is from RNAcentral.
ACUCCUGCGGGAGGCAGCAGUGGGGAAUAUUGGACAAUGGGCGCAAGCCUGAUCCAGCCAUGCCGCGUGAGUGAUGAAGGCCCUAGGGUUGUAAAGCUCUUUCACCGGUGAAGAUAAUGACGGUAACCGGAGAAGAAGCCCCGACUAACUUCGUGCCAGCAGCCGCGGUAAUACGAAGGGGGCUAGCGUUGUUCGGAUUUACUGGGCGUAAAGCGCACGUAGGCGGACUAUUAAGUCAGGGGUGAAAUCCCGGGGCUCAACCCCGGAACUGCCUUUGAUACUGGUAGUCUUGAGUUCGAGAGAGGUGAGUGGAAUUCCGAGUGUAGAGGUGAAAUUCGUAGAUAUUCGGAGGAACACCAGUGGCGAAGGCGGCUCACUGGCUCGAUACUGACGCUGAGGUGCGAAAGCGUGGGGAGCAAACAGGAUUAGAUACCCCAGUAGUCCCAUGA